CCAACCCUCCCCCAAGGUCUGCGGUUGGCCGUGCGGGGGCCGCUCCUCUUGUAGCGACGCCGGGGCCUGGAGGCUUCCCUGCGAUCCCGGCUCUGCCGACUUCCCCGCGGAGCCCUCUUCACUCCGGGAAGCUCCGGCAGACUGUGAAGGUCCAAUUCCUAGGUGUUCAGGAUGGUUUGAGAGUCAUGUGGACAAAGAACAGCUACAGCUGGAGACUAUAGAGUAUCAACUGAGAUUCUGGCUUUUUCUUGGAAUACGGGCUAGAUGGGAAUUGGGUUUGCUUCCCUUGGGAAGAUGCUGAAAACACUGUCUACAUGGGAAGGAGGGUAAAACAGCACCUCACAUUUGGAAUCCCCUGUGAACUUUCUCCUUCUCGCUUGAUCCAAAAGAAAACAUAAACCUGGAAGGAAGUCAUGUGUGGAAAAUGCUUGAGUGACAAGUUGGAAAGAGCUUGGACUCUGAAUCAUCAAAAGGAAUAAAUAUUUGUUCAGUUAAGCACAUGUGCCUAUAUUUAUAGAGAACUAAACUUCUGUUGUGUUGAUCCACUGAAAUACUGGCUGUUAUUUGUAAGUUCAAUUGGGGU
Molecule: long non-coding RNA, 583 nt
Organism: Canis lupus familiaris (dog)
Lineage: Eukaryota; Metazoa; Chordata; Mammalia; Carnivora; Canidae
Exons: 4
Source: RefSeq, a predicted model, not a curated record